Phoenix dactylifera (date palm) is the source of this 2143-nucleotide non-coding RNA. The record is from RefSeq and is a predicted model, not a curated record. NCBI's taxonomy places the organism in Eukaryota, Viridiplantae, Streptophyta, Magnoliopsida, Arecales, Arecaceae.
GGGCUCGUCGGGCAUUAGGACCUGGGAGGUGUUUUCGCGGAAAAAAGGGCGUGCAUUUGUCGGAGAUUCCGCUGUGUUGUCGCUCUGGGACUGAGACCGAGAGCAAGUAAUCGCUUCUAUUUCUCUAAAGAAGAUCUCUAAUAGAAGAGAGGAAGAGAAAGGGAGGAGAACAGAGAAGCAAAUGGGUUCUGGAUCUUUCCUUAAGGUCGUGGUCAAGAACUUCGAUGUUCUCGUUGGGCCUUUGGUCACACUUGUGUAUCCUUUGUAUGCUUCAGUGAAGGCAAUAGAAACUAAGUCUUCUGUUGAUGAUCAGCAAUGGCUUACCUACUGGGUGUUGCAUUCUUUAAUUACACUCUUUGAGCUCACUUUUGCAAAAGUCAUUGAAUGGCUUCCGUUUUGGGCUUAUGCAAAGCUGAUCUUUAACUGCUGGUUGGUCUUACCUUACUUCAGUGGUGCGGCAUAUGUUUAUCAGAGUUAUGUGAGACCAUUGUUUGUAAACCAACAGACAGUCAACAUCUGGUAUGUCCCUCGAAAAAAGGACAUAUUCAGCAGGCCCGAUGAUGUUUUAUUAGCUGCGGAGAAAUUUAUUGAAGAAAAUGGACCAGAAGCAUUUCAGAAGCUCAUUAACAAGACUGAAAAAGUAACAAAGCCCAAGAAGAGCAACAAAUGUGUGACAUUCGAUGAUAGGGUGGCUGGGAAGGAAUCCAAGCCUUGGGGGAGCGAUAGUCACACGGAAAAAGUAACAACGCCCAAGAAGGGCAACAAACGUGUGACGUUCGAUGAUAGGGUGGUUGUGAAGGAAUCCAAAUCUUGGGAGAGCAACAGUCACAUGACAUUUAAUGAAGUAGAGCUUGAAAGGGAUUCAAAGUCUUGGGAGAACAGCAGUUUCAUGAUCUUUGAUUAUGAUAACCGAUAUUGGACAUAGAACUCUAAUUCUGGUCACUUGAUGACCUGCUAUAGAUCAGUCUCUCCAUGUGGCCAUCAGUUAUCUGGAAGGUUUUUCUUCUUUCUUGGUGGUGAUCGAUGAAGAUAUUUGAGCACCUGGGAAUGCACUUUAAUCUUCGUCUCUGUGGGAGGAACACCUGCAUUUUAAGGCUUCAAAUGUCAUCAGUUUGUCCAGGAUUGUCAGUGCACUUUAAGAUAGGAGGGGUUGCACCCUUCAUGAUGUAUGCCAAUCAAUUGACAAACGUUGCCUUCUCAUACUAAUCUGCUUUUGUUUGCUCGAUUAAUGCUCAGAGCACCCAAACAAGGAACGCAAGGACUUCUUUUGGUUCAAGUACCUGUAAGCAAUAAUAUUGAAUUCAUGUGCUCCUUAGUCUGCAUCAAAUACCUCGUCGUCAUGCCGAAUGUAUAAGACAGGCUUCAUGUGCUGAGAGCAAUGAUAGUUUUCGCCUGUGUUCUCGCAUAUAUUUAGUGUUUGGCUCGCAUACCAAAGAUAUCGAGCAGGUAUCAAGCAGAUUCAUCAAGGGUUGCUCUGUGGAGAGCGAUAUCAAGCAGGUAUCGAGCUAUGCAACUGUUAAUUCUAUCUGAUCUUAAAAGAAAUGGCAGUCGGGAUGGGCCGGAGCAGGUAUAGAUCGGAUUGGAUGCAAUAUUGUUCUAAAGACUGUAACUGAAAUCCGAUCAGAUCAAAAAUUUAGAUCCGAACUUGAUGAUUUUAUGAAACAAAUAAUCUAACUUGACCUAUAAUAAAUUGGAUGUAGUUGAAUAGAUUAAAUGGUUGAGCAUUGCCGCUUCUAUUUUAGAAUUUUUUUUGCAGAGUGAGCUUUUUUUGUUAAUUUUUUUUUCUCUCUCUUUUUUGUUUUUUUCUUUAAAUAUCUUGUGCCACAGAUAUGUAGCUGAUUCCACUGAAAUGCUUUCCUGGUAAUUGUGCUUUUUCUCAACCCGGUUUUGUCCUCUUUUUUUUUUUGAGUCUUCCUUCAAUCUGAUACCAAGUUAUCAUGGAACCUGUACAUUGAUAAACCGGAGGGUGCCAUAUUUUCUACUUGAAUUCUUCUUGAUCAUAGGAAUAUUGCUCAUUAGGACAACCCGAAGAUUUUAAUACUUGUUUUCAGGAUGAGUCUGCAGUGAUUCUGCAUGCAGAAAAAAAAAGGAGAAACAACAUAUACUAAGUCAUGUCUCAAAAAUCAUGUGUGGGAAACGUACU